This is a non-coding RNA of Cymbomonas tetramitiformis, 72 nucleotides long. The record is from the annotation of a GenBank genome assembly. NCBI's taxonomy places the organism in Eukaryota, Viridiplantae, Chlorophyta, Pyramimonadophyceae, Pyramimonadales, Pyramimonadaceae.
GUCUCCGUAGUUUAGUGGUUAAAAUCCUGCUUUGAUGCAACAGAGACCCUGGCUCGAGUCCCGGCGGGGACA